GGACCUUUAGCUCAGUUGGUUAGAGCAAUCGGCUCAUAACCGAUCGGUCCUGGGUUCGAGUCCCCGAAGGUCCA
Dorea sp. 5-2 is the source of this 74-nucleotide non-coding RNA. The record is from Rfam. NCBI's taxonomy places the organism in Bacteria, Bacillati, Bacillota, Clostridia, Lachnospirales, Lachnospiraceae.